GUACAUCGGGCACCCACGUCUGUCAUGUCAACGCCGAGUGUGUGAACAACAUAGGAAGUUUUACGUGUGUAUGCCUAGCUGGAUAUACUGGUAAUGGAUUUGACUGCGUUGAUAUCGACGAAUGUACAUCGGGCACCCACGUCUGUCAUGUCAACGCCGAGUGUGUGAACAACAUAGGAAGUUAUACGUGUGUAUGCCUAGCUGGAUAUACUGGUAAUGGAUUUGACUGCGUUGAUAUCGACGAAUGUACAUCGGGCACCCACGUCUGUCAUGUCAACGCCGAGUGUGUGAACAACAUAGGAAGUUAUACGUGCGUAUGCCUAGCUGGAUAUACUGGUAAUGGAUUUGACUGCGUUGAUAUCGACGAAUGUACAUCGGGCACCCACGUCUGUCAUGUCAACGCCGAGUGUGUGAACAACAUAGGAAGUUAUACGUGUGUAUGCCUAGCUGGAUAUACUGGUAAUGGAUUUGACUGCGUUGAUAUCGACGAAUGUACAUCGGGCACCCACGUCUGUCAUGUCAACGCCGAGUGUGUGAACAACAUAGGAAGUUAUACGUGUGUAUGCCUAGCUGGAUAUACUGGUAAUGGAUUUGACU
Molecule: long non-coding RNA, 597 nt
Organism: Lytechinus variegatus (green sea urchin)
Lineage: Eukaryota; Metazoa; Echinodermata; Echinoidea; Temnopleuroida; Toxopneustidae
Exons: 5
Source: RefSeq, a predicted model, not a curated record